GCGGAUUUAGCUCAGUUGGGAAAGCGCUAGACUGAAGAUCUAGAGGCCGCUAGUUCGAUCCUGUCAAUUCGCA
This 73-nucleotide transfer RNA is filed under the name Pleodorina starrii. RNAcentral describes it as "tRNA-Phe". It matches the Rfam family "tRNA". Rfam says of the family: Transfer RNA (tRNA) molecules are approximately 80 nucleotides in length. The record is from RNAcentral. Lineage: Eukaryota; Viridiplantae; Chlorophyta; Chlorophyceae; Chlamydomonadales; Volvocaceae.